CCUCCGGCCGGACAGGAAACAGCGACCGGGACGGCGGGGGAAAUGACGCCGCGGAAACGCUUCGGACCGGAAGCUACGUCGGCCGGCGGGGCCGGGGCCGGAAGCGGCGCUGCGGCCGUUGCGUGGGGGCGGUGCGGCGAGCCCUGAGGGGAGGCGGUGGGCUGGUGGGGGGAUGCCUGUGGCCUUUGCCCUGUUACUGUCAGUCCUCUGUGCCCCCACCGCUGCUCUUCCGCUCUGACUCCUACAGCAACAGCAAAUCAACCUUGCCAAAAUGAAACGCCUUUUUGGGGGGUGGCGGCUCGAUCGCAACAUGGCCGGCUGCAGGGCCACGUAGGCCUUGCCUGCAGAGGAGGAGGUGGGGAGACACUGAAAGUGAGGAGCCCAGGACACAUAGCAGUGCCCAUCUGGCUUCGCGUAAAAUACAGGGCUGCCACACUGAUGGGAUUUUUUCCCAAAGAAGCAUCCAAAGAUGGCAUCUGAAGUUGAAGGAGCCCAACAGCCUUAUCUAAAAAAUGGGGGAAGGGGUGUUUCUCUUCUCUCUACCGACUGAAAAGUUAGACUGGUACGGCACUGUACCUGUUCCUGACAAGAGCACAUAGGCUGUCACUCAUCCUCUUUUUUUAAGUGUUAAAACUAGGAGAAGCAUUCAUGUUGUCAACAGAUAAUUGAAGUUGAAGGGUAAAUUCUGCAUCUCUAGCCCAAGUCCAAUGGAGAAUUUUUUAUAUCACAUUUCUCAAAGUGACCAUGGGGAAGGGAAAUACUACCAUGGAUCGUGUCUGGGUUCGAGGAAGGAGAAACGCUGCCACGGUGCCACUGCAGCUGGAAUGAGAGAUGUGUCCAGGAGGAAGUGUUUCAAGCAGGACCAAGAGCAAAGUGAGAAGGGAAGAAGCAGAAUACGCACUGGGCAGGAGCAAGAGGAGAUGCUGAACCGAUCCAACACUGUUGGAGGCUCUUGCUGAGAAACAAGAUCCUGAUUUAGUCCUUCCUAUCAGCUGUGCUUCCUCUGCUUGUGCUUGGAGCAGCCAUUUUCCUAUGAUGGGGCCUGACAGCCUUUGGCCCUAGCUGUACCUCCUCUGGCUUUACCUCCAUUACCCUCCUUUUAGCUGCCUAGUAACAUCCCCAUUUAAAUAUAUUUAUUCCUCUCA
Long non-coding RNA from Dromaius novaehollandiae (emu), 1145 nucleotides. RefSeq lists it as uncharacterized. The transcript is spliced from 2 exons. The record is from RefSeq and is a predicted model, not a curated record. Lineage: Eukaryota; Metazoa; Chordata; Aves; Casuariiformes; Dromaiidae.